Molecule: ribosomal RNA, 253 nt
Filed under: uncultured bacterium
Lineage: Bacteria
Description: partial 16S ribosomal RNA
Rfam family: Bacterial small subunit ribosomal RNA
Source: RNAcentral
UACGGAGGGUGCAAGCGUUAUCCGGAUUCACUGGGUUUAAAGGGUGCGUAGGUGGGUUGAUAAGUCAGUGGUGAAAUCCACGAGCUUAACUUGGGAACUGCCAUUGAUACUAUUGAUCUUGAAUACCGUGGAGGUCAGCGGAAUAUGUCAUGUAGCGGUGAAAUGCUUAGAUAUGACAUAGAACACCAAUUGCGAAGGCAGCUGGCUACGCGAAUAUUGACACUGAUGCACGAAAGCGUGGGGAUCAAACAGG